Long non-coding RNA from Ooceraea biroi (clonal raider ant), 21794 nucleotides. RefSeq lists it as uncharacterized. NCBI's taxonomy places the organism in Eukaryota, Metazoa, Arthropoda, Insecta, Hymenoptera, Formicidae. The record is from RefSeq and is a predicted model, not a curated record.
AUACUUGUAAUACGAUUAAAUUAGUCAAGAAUAUUUUUCGUCUUGUUAUCAGAAAUCCUUUCUGAGGGUGUAUUAUGUGUUGCGCAUAUCUGUAUGUGCACAGCCGAAACGGGAUCGCAAAACAGAAACGAGUAUCGAUCAGUGCGAAAUUGUAAGAGGGAUUCGCAUAACGAAUCCAGCAAUAACUACUCCGUAUACCUACUACGUACCUGUAUCUUCCUUUUUUAUUCGAGCGACCGCGUCUAAAUAAAUUUUUAUGCAAAUAAGCCGAGCCGCCGAGUUUCCGAAGCUCGUCGGAGAUUUUCGUUCAUUGAUUCACGUACAUUUAUAUGUAUACGGACGAAUAAAACUGCGUCCGUGACUCUCAGUCCGAGUCACACAAAAUCCUCGUACAAUUUUAUAACGAUCGCUGCAAUACGUAAAUGUACACAUGUGCACAUUCGCGCGUCCACGUCCAAGUGUCUGCAAAUAUCGAGAAGUUCAUCAAACGUGUUACUCGAUGCCUGCAUAUCGAGAUACAUUUUUUCCGACAUCGUGUUUGCGAUAAGGUAUAGAAAAUAGAAAUUAGACAUUUCCCAGCGCGAUGCAUUUUGAGUAAGAGGAACUUUUUCGAUAUUGAUUUUUCAACAGGAUAUAUAGAUUUCUAGGGUAAUCGUCAUUCUAUGCUUUGCAAGUUGCUGCAAAUAUGUGCUCGAACAUACGCGUUGCAUGCGCAUUCGUUGCAACAAUACGCGUGAUGGACAAUAUUGUCGAUACUAUUUAAUUCCACAAUGUAACAUGCCGAGAGAGAGAGAGAGAGAGAGUGUGUGUGUGUGUGUGUGCGCGCGCGCGCGUGUGUGCGUGUGAGAGAGAGACGAAGAAUACGUUUUAUUUGAACAAUACGAAUGAAAAAAUGGCGUGUCUGCGCUAUAGGGGAUUUUGAGGAUAAUCUGAUUUAACGAGUAAAACGGACGUUGCAUUUCACAUUUUACGAAUUCCACGGUAUUUCAACAAUACCUCAAUUAUUAGCAUAUAUCAAUUCAGACAUUGUAAAUGAAAUUAGCAAAUUAACAAGAAUGUUAUCGAAGAAAUGGUUAUCGUGAGAUAUCAUGAACUAUAUAUUGUAAAAAGAGUUAAAAUAACGAUCAUCAAAUUAAAUCUUCAAUGACUAACAGACGUCGAAUGAGUACUUUUUACAAUAAAUAUUAUUUUUGCAACACAAGAUAUGAUCACGCUGUUGGUACCUAGACAAAGAGAAUCCUAGUUCUCAAUUGCCAGAGCGAUCUUACUUUCCUCACACUCUUUCACAAUCAUAUCAUUCCCGCGAGAAUCGCUAGCGGCUCCGCUUUUCACGCGUGUGAAUGCCGAAAGGAAUCGCCUGCAGGGACUUCACACGCUGUUUGCGCACCACGUACUUAACGGAGCAGCGCAUAUAUAGCUCGUCGGACAAAGCGCGGCGUGGGCCGUGAGGAGUCCAGGUGGGCGGAAAAUCCGGGCCCUUCGGCGCGAAACGGCACGACCGGCCCUCGAGAACGCGCGAAACAAACGUCGCCCCAUAAGCGAUGGCCAUGUAGUGUACGCCGGACACUGACACGGACGAUAAUAAUCGUUUUAUGGAAGUGAUUGCCUGGCGAGCGAUCGGUUUCGGCCUGUCGGACGCGAGGGAGCGGCGAUAUUCCGAUAUGGGGCUGAUGAGCAAGACGGGCUGCUUCCACCGGUUAUCGAGAACAACAAGCAAACUUGAUGAAGAAGAUUUAACGCACUAUGCAGACGACAAACAUACAACUUGCUUCAGAAAUGGAUCCGUGAUCGAGAAGCCGAAGAGCGACUUCGCGAGAACUUGUGGCUAAUUUCGUAUUCCGCGGUUCGCGUUGGCGAACCCCUUUGCGGAUUAACUAGGAGAGCGAGAUUAUCGGGAAGCCAGGAAGCGCUUAUGAUUUGCGAACGUGCCAGCGAACUCCACUAAGCCAGAUGCACGUUCGAACGAUCAGAUCGACCGUGACAGUGUGACACUUCCUGCAAAGCUAACAGAUAAUUAUUGAAAUGUGAAAUAGUAUUAAUUCGAAGAUAGGCUAAAAAAAGAUCACGUCGCCAUAGAUACAAGACCAGAAAUAAAUUCCACGUGUUAUGACUUGUAAUAAAUAGAAUCACAUUAAGCGACACGCAUGGAAAGUGAUGCCGAGCUGGAAAUUGUACGUCGAAAUUGCCACGGGAACGAAACGCGGCUCAAGCCGUCCUGGAUUUCCGUCGGUUUGAGCAAUGCACGCCGGUUUGAACGCCGCAAUAUAUUAUAAUCGAUGCUUACGGAUUUAUUAUUAUUUCGUAACAGGUGCACAGGCGCUACGCGCGCGCAUUUGCGCCCGGUGUGUUAUUAAAUGUUACAGAGAGACGUUAAAUCGCGCAUCGAUGUGUGUAUAAAAGUCAGCCCCGUGAUUUACCGUGCGCAGAAGCAGGUGUGGCACGACUAUAAUCUCCGCAAGCGAGCGAAAUUACAUAACGCUAUUUACCGCGACAAACUCGGUGACAUUCUGUCGCUCAUUUUACCGUAACGUGGAUACGCGUUUUUUAAUAUCGAUAUUGGUUCCUUCUGUAUGUAACUUUUCAGAUCUGUCUUUAGUUCUUUCUACUGCAGCAUUGUUUCGGCGGAUUCAAUAUUCCUGUUUUACAGAGAGUGAUAUAAAUUCAUACAGAUUUAGUUUCAUUUAUUAAUAAAAGCGAUAUAUAAAAUUUUAUUUGAUUUAUUAUUGUAUUAGAAAAUGCUUCAAAUAUUUUUGUGAAAUUGUGUAAAAUCGGAGCGAUUAAAGCACUAUUGCGGCAAUUUACAUGUUAUUCGAAUUAGCAGCAAUAAACAAGCUUUUUGUAUUAAACAUUUUGUUAAUUAAUGGAAAUUUCUGAAUCGUCUUUGUUGUAGAAAAUUGAACAACACGUCAAAUAUUUUCGCGGAAUUUUGUAAAUCGAAGGCGAUCGAUGCUUAUGUAUACCUCGCACACAUGGACGAAUCUUAUUUGACGAAUUUACGAAAUUCUGAAGCGGCGCACAGGCGGUGUCGAACAAUGAUGAAUAAUACAAUACGCCGUGCGAAACGUGUUAUAUACCAUGCAGAAAAGCGAGAAAAGAAAGGCCUAAAAUAGAAGCAAAAGCACGGUGCAAAACCGCUUUCGUGGUUGAAAGAGAAAAAUCGUCGACUAUGCGAGAGCGAUUGCCUAAGGCGGACAGUGAGCGCAAAAUUUAUGAUAUGUACUGAAAUUAAUUGAAGUCUUCAAACACGCUCUUAUUUUAACACUGCUUUGUCACGUAAUACGAGUGGUAUGAAAAAGAAAAAAAAUAUCGUUAAUUGGUGCAAGAUAGCUUUCAUCAUAUUUUUAUGAUUAACCAACGCGUUUUCUCUUAUUAAAAACUUUGCUGACGAAUCUUGGCAUAAAAAGUAUAGCGAGAAGUUUAACCACGACACUUUAACCAACUUUAGCCAUUUAUUAUCAACGAUCUUUUGUAUGUUAUCAAUAAAUAUCUAAUGGUUUUCUCCUAGACAUUUUUUCGUGAAUUAUAAAGUACAACUGUACAUUUGUAAAUAUAAUAAACUAUAGUAAUAAAUAGCAAAUAAACCUAGCAAAUAUAUAAAUAGUGUAAAAACUUGCAAAACAUAUUUGCAUAAUUGCAAAAUAUACCUGUACAAGAAAUACAAUAUAUCCCGCGCGAUUAUUUCUUCGAACGAUUGGCGCAUAUUGGACGGAUUAUUUUCUACGUGCAUCUACCAUAAUUUCCGUCUAUCUUGCAUAAAUUUUCGAGCGACAAAAGAACCACACCAUCCGCGCGUUGUUGCAUAAUGCGCGAUAUGAUUAAAUAUGCUAAUGCGCGGGUUCGCAGCGUUGCUGCCCCGGCAUCACGAAAGAUCGUCGUCUUUAACGUUUAACGGGAUGGUUUUCCGUCCCCGGUGUGUUCGCCGUUCGGCACAGAACGCAGGAACGGCCCUACACGGAACGCAAUUACAGUCGUUUACGGUUUUGUCACGGCUAUUCAUCCAGAAAUUGCGCGUUCAACGACCACGGGUUGACGAGCCCCCCACGUAUUCCUGGCUGCGCUGUGAUUUCUCGCGGGACCCCCUCGAGCCGACGACGAGAUGCCCUCUAUCUCUCGUUCCGCAGACACGCAACCGCAUCCGCUCCCUCGUCGUCCUCCUACGGUUCUUUCCUCCCUCUUCACCGAAGAGACCGCGGUGGAUACAAAUCAGGAUCUGAUUGUGUGUACGUGUGUGCGGUUGUCGCGGCCGCGACAGGAUCUAAGCGAUGUGCUCGUCGAAUUAACCACGAUGUGGAAAUCGGCAACGAGAAGUAAGCACCUAACCGAAAGGAAACCAGGUACUCAAUCCUGAUCCUCGACCAUUGUGCCUCGUAUCGAUUUACGCAAAGCAAGAGGUAUUAUAUUAUCUGUCAGGGGGAAUCCCGAAAUGGUAAUCCUGCUCGACUCUUCGCUUCACAAUCUUUGCCAUCCUGAAUUAUGUAGCGGUGUAUUAUUUCAGGAUUCAUGUUCUUUCUUGGAUUUACCUGCUUCGACGAGCGUUGGUGAAUUUGGUAGUGAACGUGCCUAGAUUAUCAGAUGACAAACUGGGAGAACGAUGAUUGCGUAACACGAUUGUGUAGAGACUAAUACCAGCUGAUAAAUCUCAUGCAAAUCUGACAGCACGUUUAUCAACGGGCGGAAUUCAUUAAGCGCUAUGAUAUUAUCGAAAAUUGAUACGUAAUAAUGUAAAAAAAAGUAUAAUAAUUCAUGGGUGCAAAAAGGGUUUCACAUUCUCGAGCGCACGGCGCUCGUACGCACGCCACUCAAGUACGAUUUUAUCACUCGCAGUUAUUAUUAAUACGGGCUGCUUUAUGUUUGACAGUAGUUUACGAUCAUUCCCGCUAAACGGCAAAACAGAUUUUACGGACCCAUUUUACUCUGUUCGGAAGUGGCACGCGCGCCGUCGCGUUGCGUCGUAUAAAUCUCCCCGCGAAAGUAAGGAAUUUUAUGUCUCGAGGGAGCAGUCCUUCCAUUCGCCUGUCCAGCUCCCAUGAGAGCUCCGCUCGUAUGAGAGCCGUCGCAAAUCUCCGCAGAUAGAAAUCAACUUCUGGUUACGCUUGUCACGCGUGUGUAUAAUCGAUUUAAUCGCCGCACUUGUCAAAUUAACAGCGCUCGUAAAAUUAGAAACCGAGAUCGAAACUCCUUCGUCACAUCUUUAUAUAUAAAAAAGUUUGCCUCUGAGAAUUCUUUCACGACAAAACACCCAUCACAAAAUUGAGAUUUAAUCCACGUCGACUAGAAAAUUCGCAGAUGCAAGUGAAUUUUAGGAUCAAAGUUGAUAACUUUUGUGUUCUCCAGCACGCAUAAUUACGCAAAGACGAAGCAGAGAUGCGGCGCGCAUCUUCCAUUCUAUAUAAUUUAAAAAGAAAUAAUUAUUUCCGAAAUCCAUUUUGUCAAAUUCGUUAAACGAUGAGUGUUGAGAACUCGAAACUUAAGUUUUAUUGCUUCUCUCUUAUAUAUCACAGAAUCACUCUUAAAAUUAAAUAAAGAUUAAGAGAUAAUAGUAACGUAGAACGCGGUAACCACGGUAAAGUUGGAGAAAUUCAAUAAUAAUUAACGUAAUCCCGCAGUUCGCGAUUCCACGAUCGAGGUUUUGCGAGGUGGUUAUAAAGGCUUCUCUUAAGUUGUGAAUCGCGUGACGCGAUAUUGCAUUUUUCUUUACAUUGAUUCGUGAAAAAUUCCCGCUCACGCGCACGCGAUGCCGUUCGUCGCCGCACGUCCCGAAGAACGUCUUUCGUGCUCACCAGAGCCUGUGCAGUUCUUAAACGAUUUGCAAGGUUCGGCCAUUAACCGGGCUCCGCGAACAAAGCUGGUAAGCUCUGUUAUCAAGACUCAGUCUCAGCUUAGGUCGUAAUAGUAAUCUCCGUAAUUUAAUGUAAUUACAUAAAUACCAAAGUACGCACUAAAUCACAUCGAAUAGAUCGUGAAAACUGGAUUCAACAGUCGCGAUAACGACGGCUCGAAUGCACAUCAGCGUGAUAUAAAAGGAAUGCUGAACGAAACGCCGGCAAUCGUUAGCAGACACAUUUCAUCGCGUGUAAUUGAAGAAAACGGCGCAGCGGAGAGGAGGCGAUAACGAAUCCGUGACGCGAUGUAAUUCUCCGAGGGAAAAUACAGGAAUAAAUAGAAAAAAUACAAAAACCAAGGGGGAGAGUUCGGGUGGCGUGGCGUUAUUAAGCGGGGCACCCUUGCCUCUGCCUCGUCACCUUCGACUGAUCGCUUUUCCGAUAGUUAAUGAUCGAUCACGAUGCACAAGCUGUACCGCCGGGUAAACGAGCCACCGUCGUGGUUCUUUCGAGCGUGUGCAAGAGGCUCGCGUACAUGGCGUGUCUGGACUGUUUUUCCUCGCCUCUAAACGGCAGGGGUAUGAGAUGGAUGGGGAGAGAAUCCGACGCCAUUGUCGGAGGAACAAACGAUCGUCUUCCUUUGCGCGGCGCAUUACCGUUGCUCCUCGCAAAGUGGAGGAGUCCUUUUUAUUUAGCGCGGAACAAACGGCCGGCAGACAGCUGACGUAGGCGGACAAAGACGACGCGGACAACUUUACGCGCCGAGUAUAAAAGGGUUACAGGACCGACGAAUCUGCUCGCGCGCGGGCACGUCGCGAGUUCCGGUACCCUCCGUGAACUCUCAGCUGAGCCGCGAAACAACGCGUGAAAACAACGCGACGACUUGCAGCGGACUUGUGAAUUUGCCGAUGUUUCCUUCGCCGCGCUCGAAAAGUUGUACUCUUUCACGGUGCGACGUGUUUUUAAAUUUUGUUUAAACAGGCGGAUUUACAAUUUUGAAAAAUUACGCCGAAAAAGACGCGAGACUUACUUCAAUCAUUUGCAGACAAUGAGCGGAGUAAACCCGACGAGUCGGUGACUAAAUUAGCGUGGUUGCAUAACCGACUAAGAGACUAAGAGACUAAGAUCGUGUCCUGAUUAAUAUGGGCGCGAUGUCCGACGCGUCCGCAUAGUCGCCCGUCCGGUCGACGAAUCAAGCGGAGCGCGAUGAUUAUAUUAAUAUCCGGUUAGCCUGCAGAUCCGAGCGCGCGCACUGUUACGCUUAAACACGCGUCGUCUAGACGCUUUGCCAUCGAGCGUAAUCACCGAUGAAUAAUUUAUGCGUUCCGGGUAUAUACGGGGCCUGACAUUUGUCGGCGCCGGUCGCCGUGCGGCGAAAGAACAGUGGCGGAAUUGUAGAAUCGCGAGUGACAGCUUGUAUCUCUCCUCGAGCAGAUAAAAGCGCAAAAUGCACGUGAUUUAUUAUACCGCGCUGCGAUCAUUUUUGCAACAGACAACUCGUAUCGUUACUACUCAAUAUUCGUGCAAUGAUUAUUUACAGAAGUCGAGAUUUUAUCGAUAUCGAUUUUUCUGAUGUUAAUAUUCUAUUGAUAUCGAGAGACUGAAAUAACGGGAGCCUGAAAUAAACAAACUGUAAUUCCAAUAUUUUUGCGAAUAUUUACAUACAAGCCGCCCCGGUAUGCCGUUCUAUGAUAUUAUAGCUCCGCGUUUCUAUAAAUACGGAUUCAUAACACGUUGGUGGAAUAAUUUCAAUAUCGUGGGGAGAAAGAGAGAAAGAGGGACAGAGAAGAAGAGAGAAAAAGAUACAAGAUAUUUUAAAUAAGGCGCAUUCUUAUACGUGUAUUUCAUCCAAAUGUACUCGCGUACGAGGCAUCGUUCAUGCGAAUGCGACUUCCUUAUGCACACUUCCUGUAGCAUCGCCUUCGCCUCCCUCAAUCGGUUUACAAACAGCAUAUUCAAUUUCCCGAAUAUAACAUCCCGGCGCAUCUCGGAGAAAACGGAGGACCCCGGCACGUGCCGCUGCCGUAGAAACACAAGCGGAAUAAAGCGUGUAACAUAAGCGCAACGAGGAUGCGCGCUCGUGUUAUACGCUCGAGGGAUACGAAUAUUACUUCCCGGGGUAUAUUUAUCUAUUAACGUCGAUCAGACUCGGUCAGAGUUAUCCGACCUCUCUCCCCGGCGUGGUGGUGGUGUCUUCCGCCCUACAUUACCAAAUAUCCCUAUAGUUUACUCUUACGCACUCCGCCUCUGUGGGAGUUCCGCGAGCAUAUUUGCUCUCGCGAAAGUUAGUGUAUUUGCAAGACUGGUGAAGGUAAGACGCCGACAAAUACGUUCAGACCAUGCUUGACAAUUUUUUUCCUUUUUCUCAUUCUUUUUUUGUCCUUAGUACAUUGUGUUAUAAUACCUAUAUGCUAUUGUCUGAAUAAAACAAAUAAACGACUUCUCUGCGUGCGUUAACGUUAUGUAAAUUCGAGUUUACUUCAACAAGUACUGUAAAAUGAAUAGGUUGUGCGAGUUUGAAGGAAGAAUCCGAACCCACAUUUCAGAUCGAAAAAGUUACGGGGAUGAUUUCCUUCGUGAAUAAUAUUGUGUUAUAAGGCGCGUGUUUACUUUUCUUUUGUAACCCAAUUCUUUCAAUUUAAAUUCUUUACAAGUGAAAUAAAAGUUUACUUUUUAUAUAUGUAUAUUUAAAAUAAAGUUCAUAGUUUUAAUGAAAUAAAAUAUACGCAUUCGAAACGGGAACUGUUCUCCAUGCCAAUAAGUACGCGUGACUUGUUCAGAAUCGAGAAUUCCAGUCGAAGUAAUAUUGAAGAAACAUCCACAUCUCGAACGCGUUUCCAAUCUCACGCAUCUCUCACGCACUUCCGGAAAAAAAUGAAACAGAACGUGGAUGUCGCGGCGAGGGUCGUGUUUGCACGCUGCGACGAAAUAUCGAUCCCGUUCUUUCAGAGUCUGCACCGUCCACACGCUUCGUAUUUCUCCUCUUUUUUCGCCUUUCUCUUUUUUUCUCCUCUCCGUCUUAUCCAUUGUCUCUCCCCCGUCUACCCUCUCCGUCGCGUCACCCGCUCCCUUUAUCCAUGUCGUACGCGCCGUCCCCUGCAUGUCACACAUUCGAAAAAGCCAACGGUGCGUACAAUCGUGUCCUUACCCUGCUGUGCACGUGGUUUCCACAUCAAAGAAAAGCUAUUUGUUAAUGAGGCGUAAUUAUCCCGCUCACAAUGGCAGACGGCAGCGCGCCACUGCAACAUCAGUCGGGGGUGUCGGGAGCAAGCGAGGAGCAAGGAUGGGGCGCGUUCGUCGGAACCAUGAUUGUCCGGGUUCUACAGGGAUGUAGAGAUCUCACGGUGUCAUCGCUCGAUGCGAUCAUCGUAUGCGAGCGAAGUGUAAAGGAGAUAUGACAGUCACAUCCUUGAUUAAAAUGUAUAAUAUAUAAGAGCAUACAGUUCGGGAUAAUCAAAAGAUACAAUAAAGAUACCAUCAAAAGAUGAUACAUUUUUCUGUUAGAUUAAAAUGCAUACUGGAUUAUUAAUGAAACGUUUAAAAGAUUUACUGGGCCUUUGACUCGAUAAAGACUACUAAAAUUUGUAACUCGCAAAAUUUCUGAAACGUAUUAUUUCAAGAAUGUUUUACAUUGUUACACACUUUUCUCUUAAAAUUAUUAUUAAGACGAAAUUAAGAAAUAUUACUUGAUAUAAAAGUACACCUGUCUUUCGAUAUCAAAAAUGCUCUCUUUCAUUUUUCUUUAUUAACUCUUACAUAUAUUAUACAUUACGUAAUUACAUAUUAUAUGACACGAGUGGAAAAUGGACUUUGGAAACCUCGCGCAGUAAGCUGUAAUUAAAUGCUAGAUUAUGUUAGAUUUCGCGGAUAUCUCAGCUUUUCAGAUUUUCCACUCACUUUAUCUUUCGUCUCGUGAUCGUAGAAAAAUCCGUAGAAUUACUGAGCUGCUGCAUUGCACUGACAAAAAAAUCCCGACUUAAUACCAUCUUUUUACAUUGGUUUUACGAUGUGUCUUAAACGAUCAAGCGAACGUUAAAAAGCAAGAGUAACGUUGGAAGCCGUUGGGUUGGACGCGGGGAGGAAAAAGAUGCGGAGAGUGGAAAAAGCAAACUAGAUGCUUCUCGACCGAUUACGCUAACCGCCCGUGCUCUUCUUCAAGACCGCGGAUUAUCUCAAACCGGAUGAAUUCAACUUGGAAAUACUUAUGGGCGACCGGACCCGUUGCACCGUAUUUCAUCCGCAAUCAGCAUCGCGCAAGAAACGCGUUAUUCAUACUUAAGUGACGUCAUGUCAAACCGAUGAUAUGUGGUGAUUCUUCUGUUGGAAUCUGAAGGAAAUCGAGACGGGCACGCGGUUGAUUGCCCGAUUAAGCCAGUACCCCCCGUGGGAUCGAUCGUGAUCGGCGAACGAUUAAAUGAACCGUUCGGAAAGCGUCGCGACGCGUCCUUUAAUAACGCGAAGCCGGAUUAGUUCGAGGCGCAGGUGAUCAUCGGCGCGAUAAUGGUAUUAAUACAUCAUCGCCCCCCAUGCUAUGCCUCGCCGCUCUCUGAUUGCACAGCGGACGCGCCUGCAAUAUGCGUUUUCUCACCCCGAAACAGUAGUGACGAGCACGAGCGCUGUCCACAACCGAGAUUAUGUAAUACACUAUAGCAAACUAUCUGCUGUAAACUGUAAACUGCAAUAUUGGCAGCUGUCAUAAUUAUUGAUGGGAGAAGUCUACUGAGGCUCGAGACACGAUGGACUCAAGAGUUCCGUGAACCCGAAGUUCCGCAUUCGCGAUGCAUUCCUCGCAGUGACAUCCACGUCCACUUCGUAAUUCCAAACGACGGGAAUAAAUUGCUACCAAGCCCAGCAGCGCGAUCGUGGAUUUAAAUGCGAGCUAUCUUCCCCAGGUUCUCUCGUUAAAAUCAAGAAAAUAUUGGCGCGCAAAUAGGCGGAGAGAAAGAGAGAAAAAAAGAGUACAUAUAUUAAUAAUAAAAGCUUUCUAUAUAUAUAUAAGAACACGACGUGUGCAGGCUGUCGCGGUCUCGAAGGACCGCGCUCCAGGGUUAAGGAACUGUCGCGGUACAGGAAGAGAGGAUCGCGAUCCCCAUCCGCAGGAUCGAAGAUCCAUAAUAGGGCAGCAAAACCUGUCCGCGCUUUCAGCCUGGGGAUCCGGUAUCCCGCAAUAAGAGUCAAGAUUCCGCGGCUACCACUUCGAUUUUGCUCUUUUUGCAUCCUCGCCAUCGCGACUGUCUCUUGUCUGGCAACGAUACAAUACGAUACGGCGGCGCGUUUGUGCAUCCACGCCAAUAUCAUCCGCAUCGCGAAUCGAUAAUGUGCACUCGCGUGCCGCCAAUCGUUCGCGCUUGUAAACACAUCGUAUUUAUAUUGAGCAAUAAUAUAAAAAUUUCUGCAACGUUUGAUCGUUGAUUGAAAAAUAUUUCAUAUGUACGAUCAAAUGGUGCAUGUAUGUGUUGGUUUCUUGUUGCAUGCUAUUUGAAUGAAAAUGAUUACGUGAUAUGUAAUUAUUCAUACACGUGUUUAUAAUAUAGUUGCACACAAUUUCGAGUAUAAUAAAUUAAUGGUCGAUAGCAAAAGUUAAAAUAAAAAUAAACAGUCUUCUCUCUCUUGAUGAAUAGAAUGCAAGCUUGCUAUUCACGAAUUCUCCACGCAAUUUCCAAAGUAGAAUUCUCUGUUGAACAUUUUUCUAGUCCGAAAUGAACAUAUUUAUCUGGCAUUUGCGAGAGCAACGGGAUUACAGAAAUUGCAUUGCGCGGUAUUAGCACUCCUUCGCAUUAUUGGUCAUUAUCAGAGCAAGCAACGCGAAUCCGAUCUUUAGCCCAUAGAUAAGCGCAGUGCCUGUAAUUUUCACACUAAUGCCCACGUCGAAUACUGCAUUAAAUUGUUAUUUGCCGAUGCCAUUCGUUCUUAAAUCUACGGCGAGCGGAAUCCGCGGCGAAGUCGGCAUGCCUUGGAACGAGAGCUCUUAGCUUUGCUUUAGAAAUUCAUUUCAUUCCUAUUUUAAUUUUACAUUCGAUUCCGCGCCAACGAUUUUACCAUCUCGUGCCUUUGUAGCGUUGCAGAUUACAUCGUAUCUUUACAUCGUUUAUUUCGCUUUGUAAAUUUUAUGGAUAUAACAAUGUGGAGCCGGGAAAAAUUUACGAUGCACAAAAUGAUUACGCGACGUGCUCCUUUUGCGUUAUGAGAUAUAUACAGUGUCGCGUAAAAUGCAAAACCAAUCCAAUUUGGAUUUUUGGAAUGGAUUUUAAUAUCUCCGUCUCUUUUAGAAGGCACCUUAAAAGUCAGACAAAAUUCUCACGGUGAAUUACGACCAGACGACUACCGUUGCGUGAGCGAACAGUCGGUCUAUCAAUUCAACGAGCAAGUUGCUCGGUAUUAACGCGAUCCUGGAAUUCCCAUCGCGAAACCCCAUGGAAUCGCCACGCGAAGCGCAUAACGAUCACUUAGGGCCAACAAAGAAGGCCGCUGUGACGGACACUAAUUAAUUAUCGGGGACGAGUUAAUUUCAUUAGAGAGACUGUAAGGGAAAGAGGGAGAGAGUCCUCCUACUGAGUGUAAUUGUUCUUGAAUGAUCCUCUAUCCUUACGCGUUCAAUCUCUCAGACGUCAUCCAUUAACGUAAUUCAAGUCUGAAUGAACAGCAGACGUAUUAAAUGAUCCAGGUAAAAAAGUAUCCAUCCCAGGCCCAAUAAAUGAGACAAUUUCAAGUAAGAUCUCUUUAAUAAAACUACUCCAGGCACUCGAAACUAGAAGACAAUUGUCCUGAAUUUUAUUAUAACGGUUAUAAAAGAUCUUGUGAGCUUUUAGCACUUUAACAUCAUUGAUUCUUUGCUCAAGAUGUAUGUACAAGGGUACAUAAUAAAUGAUUGUUACAGCAAAAUCGGAUUACAAAAAAAGACAAAUUAUAAUACUUUCAGUAGAAAAUAUAAGAGAAUUAUUGGAUAUUUAAUGAUGAUAUUAUAUUUUAUUUCCUUCCUAAUAAUUAUUAUGUUCGAUUCUACGUUGCACUUGUGGAUAUCCAUGUGUGUCAUAAUUAUCUUAAGAAACUCGAUUCGAGUCAGUCCUUAUAUAACUUCGAUUUUAGUAUUCAACUGCCAAGGACAUUCGUCGCAGAGACGAAACUGCAGAUACUACAUGAUCACUCAGGACUCUUGUUUCAAAGACAACAAUAAUUACAUCAUAUAAAUAGCGUAAUAUUCUUUGUCUCGAAUCAUUUAUUGAAUCUAGAACUGUUGUUCAUGAACUAACAGAAAUUUAGAUCAUAUUUCGAUAUAUAUAAAAAAAUAAAAUAAUUGUCAAAAUUACAUCGAGCAAGCAAUAGAGACAAAUAGAAGUAAUUCAAUUUUCCAUGAAAAAAAUGUGUCAUAUCGAACUUUUAUAUACAUAAUUUUAUUCGCAGAAAAAUCGUUAGAAUUUUAUUGAAUAUCAAUUUAUUUCCGCUACCCGUUUUUUUACUCGUUUGGAACAAUGAAAAUAAUGAAUUUCCAAGUUGAUCAAGUGUUGUUCAACGAAGCAAUCGAAAAUUGUUAUCUACUAUUAUUUACAUUUUCUGCAACAAUACAGAGAAAAAUUCACGGAGAAAAAUUUGUUCUCGAUAUCCUCAUGUAUCAAAUCACAUAUAUAAUAUUUAACAUUUAAUAAUUAAUCGAUUUAAAAGCUAUUGUUCUACAAAAGAUAUAUUUUAACAAUAUAUUUCUUGUCAGGAUUAAAAACUAAAAAGCCGGUCGAAAUCAAUGUAUUUGUUUACGAUAUACGGAUGUAGAUUACAAAUAUUAUAUAAAAUUAUAAAUUAUUUGAUAGAAUUUAUAUUAUAUAUGAUAUUUUAUAAUACAUCAUAUGGAAACAGCGUCUUUACAAAAAAAGUAAUUUUUAAGUUAAUUACAAGUCCCUUAAUUUCUUUCGAUGCAAAUAGAAACGUGAAUAACUUGAAAAAUGACACAUAAUUCGAUGUUGACUUUAUCACAUUUAUUAUCUUUACGAGACGCCAAGUGAUAAAUUACGACACAGCUAUAGUACAGCUAUAUAUAAACUAAAAAAGUUUGAUAUGGUGGAGUAACCGAAACUUUAUGCACUAUCGCAGAUAAUUGCAGAGAUAAUUCCAUUGCAUGCAUUAAACCAUGUCCGUCAAAAUUUGCCCUCGGCGAUCCCGGUCAUCGCAAUUACAAAUGUAUCUCCCGAUAAAUCGUGCUAUCCAAGUUCGCAGUCGUCAAAUAUUUGGAAGCUCGCGAAGCGUCUACAUUCAAAUAUUACCCUCACCCUUCUCUCCUAAAUUUUGGUUCUCAACUGCAUAACGACAUAUGCUCCUGCGAUUACGCUUGGCACCAACGACUUUUCUAAGCGUAAACGCUUUCGAAUUUCGGCUUUGUAAGAUUCGUAACAUAUAUUUGGAUUCGUACAACAAUCAAAUCAAAUUUUUCCAUCUCUCAAAUGGAUCCAUCAUACAGCCGUGCAAAUUAUUCGCACCAUCCGGGACUGCGAAACAACGCUUGCUCCGGGAAGAGACUGCGAAACGGCGGACAUCGAGAACGUGCUUUGUGCUGGAAAUGCUGGUGCACCACCACGUCGUUUUUGCAGAUUGUAACGGAGCAGCCGGAGCGAGAUGGGACGGAUUAACCGUGGCGAUUAGGGUGAAACAAAAUGUCGGAAAGUUUCAGUGGUGCGGACACUACGGAGAUCCGUAGACGCUCUCAUUACACGAGGGCGAGGCAUAUCCGGCGAAGUUUGGCUUCGACGUGGUGGCGGCGGCCACGAUCGGUGAUUGCGUGGGCAACCGUUGAUUACUCCCGUCGCGCUCUACCCGUGCAAUCGGUUGCGAAACUUUAAUUAAGGCCUGCACCGUGACCGAAACGACCGAGCGAUAACGCCGAGCGCUCCUUAUAUCGGCGGCGUGUGGGCGAUCGGUUUUAUAGGGUCGCAUGGAAAGCCCCGGGAGCGAGUCGCCGCCCGCGGGAACGACACGCGCGCGCGAGAAUUGUCUCUCGAAUUAUCCCCUGCUCGCUCUGCCGCCUCUCCACAUACUGUCGCUAUAAAAUAUGUCGCGACAACCGUGAACUAUGCGUAAAUUUGAAGUGCGGUUAAAGGGCGGCAGAACGGCUGAUAUCUCUGAAACGAUGAUUUUCGUCGUGCAGUCCGUUUAUGUUGCAUUGCAGACGAGAUCGAUGUUUCUUUAAUUUUAUAAAAUACGACAAUAAUACAAUGAGAUGAUUCUCGGUCUGAUUUUUGAACUAGAAAGUAACACAGAAGAAGUAUUCUUGAAUGAAUAACAAAUAAAUGAAGUAAUUGAACAAAUAAUCAUAUUUUACUAUUGAUAACUAUAAUGGUUAUUAUAAUUUUUUAAAUAAUCAUUACGGUAAAAGCAAAUGUAAAUUUUCUCUUUCUUUUUCUCUCUCUUGUUCGCAGCAAUCAAUUGCUGAUGUGUCUUUCAGGUCAUAAUGCUUUUACCGAGAAAUCAUGGCAUUGUAAUCUGCAUAUUUGUUAGAGUUCUCCUCGUAAGCAUCCAACUCGAAUGAAUCCGGGAAGAAACCCGAGGAAUUCAACCGCCAAGUCGCGCACUUUGAAAGCUCAGUAACUGAAGAUUUUCAUCAGCACGUUCGCCCCAUUUUACUAUUACAGAACGCUGCGCCGGAUGUAAACUUUAGUAUAUGAUUAGCAGUAAUCAGGCUAAAAUCUUCCGGGAGUUAUAACGCGGGACGUCGGGAAGUUUCCUGGCGCGGAAACGUUUCUCCGACAAUUUCUUUGGAAAUUAUGUAACACGCCAGUAUCUUUCUCCCCUCCUGUUUCCCCCGCGGCGUUAGCUGCCGUAGUAUUUAAUUGUAAUGUAAAUCAUCUGAAUAUCUCCAGAUACAACUAGAGUGUGAUAAAGUGCAGCGAAACGUCACGUGAUGUAACACAGCGCUCGUGUUUUUGUUAAUAAAUAAAUUGGCUCGCGCUGACAACUCGUUACGUAAAUCCGGGGGUGGCGCGGCGCUUAUCACCCACUAGUAAAAUUACGAAUCAACGUUUAAUAUAAACUGACAAUGUGAUAGUCAACCAACUGCAUGCUAGGCAACUCCGCAAUGCACCAGCGGGAACAGGAACAACUCGUUGUUUCCAGACGUGCCUCUCUCUAGUUCGUGAUACGCGGUGGCGAUCAAUGUCGGCUAUCCCGAGGCAACCGAUUACGAAUGACAAAUCACGACAAAUUGUUGCGUGUCUCACGCAAUCGCGUCGAUCUCGUUGAGCGUUGACUAAAGGCUUGCGCGAGACACGGACGAUUUGGCGUAUCGUAAAAAUACGCAAAAGCGAGAUACAUAAAGUUGUAUCACUUACUAAAAAAAACGAUACUGCUAACUGCAGAAAAAUGGAAAUGAUUUCUUUCAAUUAAUUCAAGCUUGUCGAAUUAUAUCGCUUGAAAUAAUGCUUAACGUAAAAUAAGUAUUAAUUUUGCACCGAUCACACAGAUGCAUCGACUUUGUAUUUAAAUAAAUGACAAUUUCAAUCAGAAUGGAAACAGCUCACUUCGUACAACAUUUUAACAAAGUAUGUGUAAGAAUUUCAAUUGCGACUGUCAAAAGGGAAAACCCGGUAGUUUACUUUGCUAUAAAAUCAAAAACAGCGACCGCAUUCGCGCGCAGUUUUGGAGAAAUACCGUAAAUCACGCCGGAAUGUAGCGGGUACACAUAACUGUGAAACGAGUAACGUAAAAUCGCAUUGAUAAGAGUCGUAAUUGCGAACUGUUUCAAUACACAUUCCAAUAUACAUAGAUGCCAAUAAAACAAAACCCGCAUUGUUCUUCGGAAAAAAAAGAGGAAAAAACAGGAAGCCUAUGCAAACUUGUUGCGAUCAACAAGGGAUUUGCGAAAAAAACGAGAGAAAAUCAAGUAGCUCUCGUAUCGACCGGCGCGUAUUCCAAUAAUGAAGGUUGGAGAUUAAUAAAUCUGGCGUGCAGUAUACGCUCGAUUACAUGCACGCGUGUGUAGGUGCAACGGUAAGGGCAAUCGGCAUUUUAAACAAACGCAGCAAGCUUCUGAGACUUUUCAAUUCCCCGCGGUAGAGAAACACGAUGUUCUCUGUCGCUCAAUACCGCCGCGAAUGGAAAUUCUCUAAUAUAAGAUUUAAUCUUUUCUUGACGUCGUGCCGCGUCGCACGUACGGAUCCAAUGAUAUUCCGCGGAAGGAACGAAUUCGAAAUGCUGAAAGUGUCGUUCGUCUGAUUUAACAGUUCGACUGAGCGAUUUAAAAUUUAAAAUAAAUUCAAUCAGCGGGAGGAAGAAUUUAAAAAAAUUCCUUUUUCCGACAAUUUGAACAUCUCAAAUUCCUCAAUAAUUAGCGUCAAGAGAGAUGAUGUCAUAAAUUGAAAAUAUGAACGAAACGUGUAGACAAUAACACAAAAUUUGUGGUUACAUUAAUUGUAUUAAUUAAAUCUUUUUGUUAAAUGCACUAUGAAGUUAUAAAUUCCAUUAAAAAUUAUGCACUAAUUGAUCAAUAAUUGACAGACGAACAUACAAUGCAACAUAUUCUUUUAUGCGAAUUUAUUUUCUGUGGAAACAUGCAUCUAAUCCGUGAUAUAUUGAAAUCUCAAAUUACGUGUAAAAACGUAAUGCUCGUUAACAAACAUGAAAAUAUUAUUAAUAAAUAAAUGUUCUGCAAUUGUGUAGAAUCAUUCUUUUUCAAUUAUGCCAUCAACAUGUAAUGUUAGCAUUGCUCGACGCUCAAAGGGAUACAACGAGGCACAUAAGCUUUCGACUGUGCGAAAAUGAGCUCUCGCUUCGCAAGAUCGCAGGGAAUAUUCAUGGGAUUCUAGCCAGGCGUGAACAUUCGUGAAAUAUGAACGCGGUAACUUUAAUCGAACUUGAAACGCAAUUUCAAAUUCAAAUUUUCAUCGCGGGCAAUGGGGUUUACCGGGUAAUUAUACCGCUGUGGCGCCUUUGAAGCAUCGCCAAAGUAAAUCUUUAUCAGAAGACUUAAUUUAAUAACGUGUCGGACUCAAGCCAGGGAGGACUCGUCACGAUAACGUCGCAUCAGCAUAUUUAUCAUCGAACGUGGUUUGAUUCAAUUCCGCAUUCAAAUCAGAAUCGAUCGCUCGGGGAUUCGCUCGGAACGUCCGGCAAAUCGGAGGCGCAAUAAAGUUACUCGUGUCCCGUAUUAUUUAUGCGCAUUAAACUUCACUCGCUGGGUCCUAGAACAUCGAGAUCUCGACGCGCGAUCGCGAUCCGUCAACGAUAAAUCAAAUCGGAAGGGAGACCACGCCGGGAAACGCAGAAAACGCACGGAACGCUCGCGCAAACAAGCCCAAUUGAAAUGCGGCUACGCGGAUGAACGGCUUAACAACUCGUGCUGUCUCGACCGGUCGCCGAUGCAAAGGGUGACAUAAAUUACUUCGCAGAAACUGCACACGGUGGUCUUAUCGCAUCUCGAUCCCUGCAAGGGAUGCUAGACAGAAAAUCCGUUCGUGAGAAUUAUAAACGCGGCAUUAUUGUUGCAGCAGGAUGAAUAAUUUGCCCAGGUCGCGAGUGUUCUCUUUGAAUUCGCGGGUAUCGCAGGUAGAUUCGAGUAAGUACUCGGCAAAUACUUGCCGAUCGCUUUUAAUUUUCUCGUCCAGCCUGGCUCCGAGAUUGUGUGGAUCGUGUGAACCAUCGCGAGCCACGCACGAGUUGCUGUUCCUCUCGGAUGCGUGAACAAACAUGCACUGUCCGAGCAAACAGGCACAGCUCAUACGUGAAUCCGUCAGAGGCGGAGGAACUUGCCGCGAAUUCCUUAACGCGUGUUCAUGAACGAGAGCGACGAGAACAGGUCCUAUUCUUAAUCUCGCAUAGAAACUUUCGGAAAUUUUGCAUCUUUGUGCGCAGCUAUUGAAUAUUUUUAUUAACCUUUAAGUCCAGAGAAAGUGGAGGGAUACAUUAGCACAAUGAUAGAAUUUAUUUAAAUGCAUAAUGUCCGCGCGCUGUGAGAUUAUCAUCGCGUUUGAAUUCUACCUGCUAUAAAUUGCAUUUAUAUACUCAUAUAUAUACAUAAUCAUAUAUGUAUAUAUAUGAAUUUCAAAUGCUAUAAUCAAAAUUGAUUUGGUACCUCUUUUAUUAAACGCGCCUGAAAAGGGCUGCCUGAUAUGUAUAUAUUACGCGUAACGCACACACGCGCUCGCGCACAUUUUAUUAUGAAUAUAACUCGCAUCGUGUAAUAAGUCAAGCGGCAGUAAUUUAAUAUUAUUUUCACGAUUGUUUAACUGAGAGCUGAUUAAAUUAUCAUGCUAUUGUAUAACGCUUUUACAUAAUCGUAUAAAAGAAACCAAACGUACAUGGUCAAACUGCUGAACGUCAUACCGAAUAUUACAGAUAAUAACAGCCUUUGUCAAUGUGACUACUUAACCACCUCCCGACAAGAAAUAAUACAUUAGUGAAGGAGAAAACCUCGAUCUUCCAGUCGGCGAACAAUACCGGCACAUUAGCACACUCGCAUGUCACCAGUAGUCCAAGGUAACAGCACAUAUACUCAUAAUUAGCACUCGCAACGAAACACUCGCGAGAGCACCUCGUGACAUAACUCGUACCGUUUCGCGUCAGUGGCCGCAGAAUCAUCGAAAGCUGAAAUGAUCAUUGCAACACGUUCAAGAGAAUGAUGAACAUCCAAGAUGGAAAAGUCUUGCGGUUGCUGUUCGCCUCAGAGUCAACAGAGAAGAAACUUUUCGCGCGUCUCUCGAUCUCCACCUGACGGAACUCGCAAUCCGCGGCAACAGCUUCUUCCUUCCGAGUCGAGCGCAAUUACUAUCGAAUCGCGCUCGUUGCGGCACUUCUUUUCGCGAGCACGCGGAAACGGGGACACGUGUGUACACACGCGACGCACACACGAGAACUCGAGGGCACUUCGCUCCGACGCGCUCCGCGAGCCGCUCGAAUUCGACCACCGUCGAGUUCCCUCGUAGCAUCGGCACUUCCCACGUCCGCGCGCUCUCUUCCGUGACACUCGGACGUUUCUAUUGGCACUCGAGUACCUCCCGAGAGUGGUCCCUCGACGUCGUCCCGGUCUUCCGUCUAGUCUAGUUUCUCUCGUCCACGCGACUCGUGCGAUCCGCGUCGCGUCUUUCGUCGUCUCGACGCCGGUCCCGAGGCCAAGCUUCAACCUUUGGUGACAUUAAGAGCAAGGACGUCGAAAAGGCACCAUAAAAUUCCCUCCGUUGAUUCCACCGGGUGUUGGUGUCUGUCGUGUCUACUGCGAUGAUCACGCGACCUCGAGAAAAUAUUGUAGCUUGAUACAUCAAUUUUUGAUACGGUGUCUUCUGGGUCAUAUCGCCGACAUUUCUUGUUUUGAAUGUUUCCUCUCGAACGGAUGAGUACCUUGAGUAACGAAAUUUGAAUGCGGUUUAUUUCAUUAUGCAUUAAUUCUGUUACUCAUGUUGCUUUGUACGAUUAUACACUAAAUUUUUCAUAAAUAUUACAAAUUUGUGACACAAAGAGAUAAGUGACACGUGAGAUGCCAGGAUUUCUUCGUAUUUUGCAGGAGUCGCGGCAACUUCAUCCAGGAUGAGGAUUGAAUCAAUAUUGAACUCUUCAUGGAUCUACACGUCCACCGGCGUAGAAUUGCUGCAGUCUCACCUCCGCGAGACAAAAAGAGUCAUCUGUAAAACCCGAGGAAACGAUAUCUCCGAUAUCUCGUCUCUGGUUUCCCUCUUCCGCAUGAAGCUCGCGAUCUCGAUAAUGUAUCAAUCUACGAAAGGAACGAGGACCAUCCUGAUUGGUAUCGACUGCGACAACUCGCGUCAAGGAAGCUGCUCUCAGCUCGCGCCAUGUCUCAACGUCAUCAUCCCCGAGAAUUGGUGGCACCAAGGAUGCAUCGACGUUGUGUCGAGGAGUUUAAGCGAAAGCAAGGAUCCUAAGGAAGAGGGUUUAGAUCGGAACAAUGCGCACGUAUUCACACACGCACGUGAGCAUAGUAAACGAAAAAAGGAAAAAAAAGUAAGUCGACCCUGAAAUGAUGCCUUCUUCUGCACGUAAGCCGACCUUGCAAAAUCCGAGGUAGGGCGAGAAGGAAGAGGAAGAGAAGAAGAAAAUCCUCUUCCUUCUAUUCUAUCUUUUAGCCUCCACCUUGUCCUGAUGAUACCUGCCUGAUCCGGAUAGAUUACCCUUCUUUUACCCAUCAGAUCGUUCGCCAGAAUUUUUCAUGAUCGAUGCUUCUCGCUUACGCGUACGGAUCUUACACGGUGGUCGAUCCGCGCUAUAGUCCGUGACUAAUCGAUCGAAUUACGUAACCGCAACGGUCGGCGAGAGAUCGGAAGAUCGGCGGAGCGUUGCACAAUAGUUGCACAACUGUACCAUCAGCCUUCUCUCUUGUCCUUCCUAUGCAUCCCUCGCAUUCUUUUUCUAUACUAUACGUAGCGGCGUGAUCUGUUUUACAUUUGAAACUUGAGAGCUUCAGGUUCUCAGCUGUCAAACAGCUGUGCGGAGUCAUUCCGCUGAAAAUAAUGAGUAAGCUAAGUAUUUAUAACAUAAAUCUCCUAACAUUUUACUUUACAGAGAACAACAGGAGGAGAUUUGUUUCUCUGGAGACGCUAAAAGUUGUUAGAGUUCCAGGCCACACAUCUGUCAAAGAAACAUGCGGAGAGAGCCCGUGGCGCGGCGAGAGAGCUUGACGCAAGGAAGUUCCGUGACCGACCUUUAAUCCGGCAAAUCGAUACUUCUGUACGAUAGAUAUAUAGGUGGUAACACUCGAAAUAACACGCGGUGACGAUGUUCUCGAAAUAGUGUGCACAUGUAGAGCCUGCUUUGUAAGAGGCAUAGAGCAAUAUAGAUUGCGGACGAUCGUGCCGCUCAAGUGGAGUGUUAUCGGAACGAGUGUUCGUGGUAGCGCGAAAGAUACCGUGCCUCGAUUAAUAUGGAUGGACUUAUUAUGGAUCCAUCAGCGAAGAAAGAAAUUUUAAUAAUGGAGAGAAUAAAACCAUGAAAUAUUAUAUAAAGCAUGUAAGAAUAAAUAAGAAUAUAAAGAGCUGCAUGGAUGAAACA